RNAcentral lists this long non-coding RNA (535 nucleotides) under Pan troglodytes (chimpanzee). RNAcentral describes it as "lncRNA (ENSPTRG00000054178.1)". Lineage: Eukaryota; Metazoa; Chordata; Mammalia; Primates; Hominidae. The record is from RNAcentral.
UCCCAGAAGAAUGAGAGACAUCUCAGGCAAGCCCAAACAAAACUUGUAGUUUAGAACAAAGCUUGGUGAAACUCAGCCCAGUUGAGCUGAUACCAGCCUACCCAUAGUUGGAUGAGUGAGAAGUAAAGGCUCGUGUUAUUAUGUCUUGGUGAUAAUUGGCAUCUGGGGACUGCUGCGACUUUCGUGUGCUUUUCUCCCAAGCAAAUGGACUCGCCCCGUGGAGAGAAUAAAUUGGAUGCAUGACCAGACCUCCGAGAGGCUGCGUCUCCAGGCAGCUGGUGGGAAGCUGUCUGGAAACAAACACAUUUUCCAGCUUGCUCGACCCUCACAUUUCCAGAGCAGAAGCAUGAGAACUCCUCAAAGACAGAGAAAUGACUCUAAAAUGGAUCUGCUCCAGUCACUAGAACUCCUGCAUUCCCAGGACCAACACCUGCGUAUCCAGGACCAUGUUUCCCAGCCCAGAAAUGACUCCUGCACACCUAAAGAUACCCCACCUGCCCUCACCUCGCCUGUAAGCCUCCUUCCCAGGAAAUAA